UAGCUCACUGGUCGAGUCGGCCUGCGCGGAAGAUGUAACGGGGCUAAACCAUGCACCGAAGCUGCGGCAGCGACACUAUGUGUUGUUGGGUAGGGGAGCGUUCUGUAAGCCUGUGAAGGUGUGCUGUGAGGCAUGCUGGAGGUAUCAGAAGUGCGAAUGCUGACAUAAGUAACGAUAAAGCGGGUGAAAAGCCCGCUCGCCGGAAGACC
This 209-nucleotide ribosomal RNA is filed under the name Escherichia coli. RNAcentral describes it as "partial 23S ribosomal RNA". It matches the Rfam family "Bacterial large subunit ribosomal RNA", at positions 1138 to 1346 of the family's 2925-position model. The record is from RNAcentral. Lineage: Bacteria; Pseudomonadati; Pseudomonadota; Gammaproteobacteria; Enterobacterales; Enterobacteriaceae.